UACGGAGGAUGCGAGCGUUAUCCGGAUUUAUUAGGUUUAAAGGGUCCGUAGGCGGACUAAUAAGUCAGUGGUGAAAUCCUGCAGCUCAACUGUAGAACUGCCAUUGAUACUGUUGGUCUUGAGUUUAGACGAGGUAAGCGGAAUGUGUAGUGUAGCGGUGAAAUGCUUAGAUAUUACACAGAACACCGAUUGCGAAGGCAGCUUACUAGACUAUAACUGACGCUGAUGGACGAAAGCGUGGGUAGCGAACAGG
Molecule: ribosomal RNA, 253 nt
Filed under: uncultured bacterium
Lineage: Bacteria
Description: partial 16S ribosomal RNA
Rfam family: Bacterial small subunit ribosomal RNA
Source: RNAcentral